This 288-nucleotide ribosomal RNA is filed under the name uncultured bacterium. Its description in RNAcentral is "partial 16S ribosomal RNA". It matches the Rfam family "Bacterial small subunit ribosomal RNA", at positions 30 to 301 of the family's 1533-position model. The record is from RNAcentral.
AUUGAACGCUGGCGGCGUGCCUAACACAUGCAAGUCGAGCGGUAACAGGUGUAGCAAUACAUGCUGACGAGCGGCGAACGGGUGAGUAAUGCUUUGGAAUCUUCCCAGUAGUGGGGAAUAACCAGUCGAAAGAUUGGCUAAUACCGCAUACGUCUGUAAAGGGAAAGCGGGGGACUCGCCUCUUCUUCGGAAGAGAGGCCUCGCGCUAUUGGAUGAGCCAAAGCGGAUUAGCUAGUUGGUGGGGUAAUGGCCUACCAAGGCGACAAUCCGUAGCUGGUCUGAGAGGAC